GACGAACGCUGGCGGCGUGCUUAACACAUGCAAGUCGAACGGAAAGGCCCUGCUUUUGUGGGGUGCUCGAGUGGCGAACGGGUGAGUAACACGUGAGUAACCUGCCCUUGACUUUGGGAUAACUUCAGGAAACUGGGGCUAAUACCGGAUAGGAGCUCCUGCUGCAUGGUGGGGGUUGGAAAGUUCCGGCGGUUGGGGAUGGACUCGCGGCUUAUCAGCUUGUUGGUGGGGUAGUGGCUUACCAAGGCUUUGACGGGUAGCCGGCCUGAGAGGGUGACCGGCCACAUUGGGACUGAGAUACGGCCCAGACUCCUACGGGAGGCAGCAGUGGGGAAUAUUGCACAAUGGGCGGAAGCCUGAUGCAGCAACGCCGCGUGCGGGAUGACGGCCUUCGGGUUGUAAACCGCUUUCGCCUGUGACGAAGCGUGAGUGACGGUAAUGGGUAAAGAAGCACCGGCUAACUACGUGCCAGCAGCCGCGGUGAUACGUAGGGUGCGAGCGUUGUCCGGAUUUAUUGGGCGUAAAGGGCUCGUAGGUGGUUGAUCGCGUCGGAAGUGUAAUCUUGGGGCUUAACCCUGAGCGUGCUUUCGAUACGGGUUGACUUGAGGAAGGUAGGGGAGAAUGGAAUUCCUGGUGGAGCGGUGGAAUGCGCAGAUAUCAGGAGGAACACCAGUGGCGAAGGCGGUUCUCUGGGCCUUUCCUGACGCUGAGGAGCGAAAGCGUGGGGAGCGAACAGGCUUAGAUACCCUGGUAGUCCACGCUGUAAACGGUGGGUACUAGGUGUGGGGUCCAUUCCACGGGUUCCGUGCCGUAGCUAACGCUUUAAGUACCCCGCCUGGGGAGUACGGCCGCAAGGCUAAAACUCAAAGGAAUUGACGGGGCCCCGCACAAGCGGCGGAGCAUGCGGAUUAAUUCGAUGCAACGCGUAGAACCUUACCUGGGUUUGACAUGGAUCGGGAGUGCUCAGAGAUGGGUGUGCCUCUUUUGGGGUCGGUUCACAGGUGGUGCAUGGCUGUCGUCAGCUCGUGUCGUGAGAUGUUGGGUUAAGUCCCGCAACGAGCGCAACCCUUGUUCACUGUUGCCAGCACGUUAUGGUGGGGACUCAGUGGAGACCGCCGGGGUCAACUCGGAGGAAGGUGGGGAUGACGUCAAGUCAUCAUGCCCCUUAUGUCCAGGGCUUCACGCAUGCUACAAUGGCUGGUACAGAGAGUGGCGAGCCUGUGAGGGUGAGCGAAUCUCGGAAAGCCGGUCUCAGUUCGGAUUGGGGUCUGCAACUCGACCUCAUGAAGUCGGAGUCGCUAGUAAUCGCAGAUCAGCAACGCUGCGGUGAAUACGUUCCCGGGGCU
RNAcentral lists this ribosomal RNA (1346 nucleotides) under uncultured bacterium. RNAcentral's name for it is "partial 16S ribosomal RNA". It matches the Rfam family "Bacterial small subunit ribosomal RNA", at positions 28 to 1381 of the family's 1533-position model. The record is from RNAcentral.